Pundamilia nyererei is the source of this 141-nucleotide long non-coding RNA. RefSeq lists it as uncharacterized. The transcript is spliced from 2 exons. Lineage: Eukaryota; Metazoa; Chordata; Actinopteri; Cichliformes; Cichlidae. The record is from RefSeq and is a predicted model, not a curated record.
CUCAGAAACCGGAUCUCACUCUAGCGUUUAGAAGCUGCUAAGGCUUCCGCUCCUCACAGCGCGCGUUUGCACUGUGAGGGAGCUACAAUUGCUGGUACCAUCAGAAGACACCUGUUGAGUGUGUUUUAUGUCUUCUGCAGG